CAAAGGAGGCUCCGGACUGGCACGGCUGGUAUCUAGGCCUAGCCCACCCCCCGUGCCCUCCAGACUUCUUAUC
RNAcentral lists this microRNA precursor (73 nucleotides) under Anolis carolinensis (green anole). Its description in RNAcentral is "microRNA aca-mir-5404 precursor". The record is from miRBase by way of RNAcentral. Lineage: Eukaryota; Metazoa; Chordata; Lepidosauria; Squamata; Anolidae.